This 21-nucleotide unclassified non-coding RNA is filed under the name Mus musculus (house mouse). RNAcentral's name for it is "oocyte_clustered_small_RNA2621". Lineage: Eukaryota; Metazoa; Chordata; Mammalia; Rodentia; Muridae. The record is from RNAcentral.
UCCGUGGGUAGGGCACAGGAA